Long non-coding RNA from Phascolarctos cinereus (koala), 792 nucleotides. RefSeq lists it as uncharacterized. NCBI's taxonomy places the organism in Eukaryota, Metazoa, Chordata, Mammalia, Diprotodontia, Phascolarctidae. The record is from RefSeq and is a predicted model, not a curated record.
AGGAUGAAGUUAUUUCUUAAGAUUGCCCUGCACUGGCAAUUAUUGGCAAUGAUUAUUGAGUUACUUGGAGCUGGGGGUGCUACUGACGGAGGACACUAGGAAGUCCUUGCCUAUAAAUGAUGAGGAAAUUGCAGCUUAGAAAGAUGAAGAGACUUGACCUUCAAGGCUCAACUCAAACACUACCUGCUCUGUAAAGCCUUUCCCAGUGGUCCCUGGAUAGAGGUGUUGUCCUGAAUCUCUAAGAAAAGCUACAGAAUCUGUAGAGAUCUCCCUUGCUUGCCGUACAGAUGGGCCCCUGAUAAAAUCAAGCCGAUGGGAAGUGGACCUUGUCUACAAGGCACAGUGUGUAGGUCUCACGGUGUACUCUUUUCAAGGUCUUAGGCAGCUCAGAUGAGGAGACCAAUGAAGGGAGCUGAUGGAAUAGUAUUUCUCUACCUCACCUACAGACAGGAAACAUCCAAGGGAGAAGACCAGCAGCAUGAUGGAAUGGAGUGUGUGUGUGUACGUGUGUGUGUGUGCACGCGCGUGCAUGUGCAUGUGUUCUCCUUCCUCCCCACUCCCCAUAGGAAGAGGUAAGUAGAGGAGAAGGGCAAGUGAUGGAGUAAUUUUUACACUGAAUAUGUAAAGCUGUUUGUUUGUUAUCCUUCAUUCUUGAAGAGGACCCAGAUGACAUCACUCUUGACUGAUCAGACCAGUAUGAGUUUGCAAUACGCUACCACAUGCUGGGCACAAAUAGUCCGGGUGAAUAUUUGGGGUGGAUUCUCUAAAUGUGUGCAUCUCACAUUCCUUCUG